Glycine soja is the source of this 636-nucleotide long non-coding RNA. RefSeq lists it as uncharacterized. The transcript has 3 exons. The record is from RefSeq and is a predicted model, not a curated record. Lineage: Eukaryota; Viridiplantae; Streptophyta; Magnoliopsida; Fabales; Fabaceae.
AUUAAGGCUCUCUACAUUUGGAAGAUCAUACAACCAAUCUUCUCAUCAAACUUUUAUCACUAAUACAAGAUGUAUUGCUGUAUAAGUUUUUUGCCUCUUCACCUCUGCAAAUGAGAUGGGUGGUAAAAUAUGAUUAUAUGAAGGAACAACAUAUGGUGGAAUCAAGAACCCAUGCUAACUUUUGGCGAUGUUUGGAUCGAGAUUCCAAACACAAUGUUUUGUGCUCUGAACAUAAGCAACAGUAUGUUGUCAUAACUUGGGCGAGGAGGAGACUCCUGAUUUAUGAGGAUGCAGAAUGGUUCUCUGGACCUAUGUUUGACUAUUGGAAAAUGAAGAAUCUUGUCCAAUUCCAAUACCUAGACUAGGUCACAGGGAUGAAGCUGUAUUACCAUAGCAAAUUUGAAAUGUCAACUGUGUUUUUGAAGGCGCUGGGGACAUUCACUGGUAGAUAAAAGUUUAAGGCUUCUAGUUAGUGGUUCCAGAGCAAUAACAUAUAUCAUAUGUUGAAUACUAUUAUGAUGCAGGUAUAACCCUUUAAAAGAUAAUGAAGUUUCUUAAUAGAUAUUAGGAAUAGCUGAAUCUGCCACAUACCUUUGGUAUAUAGAUGCAUUUGGUUUUGUAUGAGAUGAAUAUGCA